RNAcentral lists this ribosomal RNA (497 nucleotides) under uncultured bacterium. RNAcentral's name for it is "partial 16S ribosomal RNA". It matches the Rfam family "Bacterial small subunit ribosomal RNA", at positions 28 to 507 of the family's 1533-position model. The record is from RNAcentral.
GAUGAACGCUGGCGGCGUGCCUAAUACAUGCAAGUCGAGCGAACGGACGAGAAGCUUGCUUCUCUGAUGUUAGCGGCGGACGGGUGAGUAACACGUGGAUAACCUACCUAUAAGACUGGGAUAACUUCGGGAAACCGGAGCUAAUACCGGAUAAUAUUUUGAACCGCAUGGUUCAAUAGUGAAAGACGGUCUUGCUGUCACUUAUAGAUGGAUCCGCGCUGCAUUAGCUAGUUGGUAAGGUAACGGCUUACCAAGGCAACGAUGCAUAGCCGACCUGAGAGGGUGAUCGGCCACACUGGAACUAAGACACGGUCCAGACUCCUACGGGAGGCAGCAGUAGGGAAUCUUCCGCAAUGGGCGAAAGCCUGACGGAGCAACGCCGCGUGAGUGAUGAAGGUCUUCGGAUCGUAAAACUCUGUUAUUAGGGAAGAACAUAUGUGUAAGUAACUGUGCACAUCUUGACGGUACCUAAUCAGAAAGCCACGGCUAACUACGUG